GCCCGCCUAGCUCAAUCGGAUAGAGCGUCAGACUCUUAAAAUGAGAAGCGGGAUCUGAAGGCUGCGAGUUCGACCCUCGCGGUGGGCU
The sequence is a transfer RNA, 88 nucleotides long. It matches the Rfam family "tRNA". From Rfam's summary of the family: Transfer RNA (tRNA) molecules are approximately 80 nucleotides in length. Their secondary structure includes four short double-helical elements and three loops (D, anti-codon, and T loops). The record is from Rfam.